AUGCCUUUAGGAAAAUCCACAAAGACAAUAUCCAGGGUGACCAUGCCGGUAGCACCGGGAGUAGAAAGCCACGAGGGAGACUCAGCCGGGAAUACAAAGCCUGUGAAGGACAUCCUCAACACGAAGGCCAAGGGUGAAGAACCAGAGAGGGUGAAGGAUUGGAGUGGACCAGGCUCUGUGACAGUCAAAGGCACCAAUGGAACCAAAGAGGACACAUCUGUUAGAACCAGUACAAGACCACUUGUCAACACAAACUACAGGGUUAUACCUAAACCAGGUGAUAGAAUAACCUUGCCCAGGAAACCAUACAUUGGAGGCUCUAUCCGUUUUAAUGGUACAAGAGUCGGCCAGGGUGGGAGGAGAGUGGGUCACAGUCUUCUGAAAAAGCCUACGAGCAGAAAUCCAAUGGAGGUGCCAAAGGUCAAGGAGACCUUGGAUACGGACUCUAAACCAGAGAAUCCCUUUGUUGGGGACAAGACUGUAGCCUUAACUGUGAAAGAAACUAACCUGGAGACGAGUCCUCUUGGAGAAAAAGAUGAAACUUUGACAAAGGCAUAUCCUGUCGGGAUCCUUCCUGUAAAUGGCACUUCAAGAUCUGGUUCUGAACCGUCAGUGAAGGACUUACCCGAUAGAAAAAAAGAUACAGAGAUUGAAACAAAUGAGCCAGGGCCAGGGACAGAGGGUUUGGAGCAUACCACCACAUCAGAAAGAAAUACGACGGUUCACCCGAAUGGGAAGAAAUGUGUCAACAAGGUUAAAUUGACACACAGGAAAGUCAAUGUGACACGUGGAGAGAGAGUCAUUGGAGGGCGGUUGAAUGGCACAAUAGUUCAACGUAAACCCACAGCAGGGCAGGGUUUCGCUGAAAAAGACGACGGUGCCCUAAAAGUGUCCGAAGCAGGACAUUCAAAGACAACAUUUCAUGAGCGUAACCGGGUCAUUCACACACAGAGUAAAGCAGAUGACAUUUCUCCACACACCACCCAAAGUCCUACAUAUCUAACUUCCUCUUCACCAGUAUCACCUACUUCCCACAUGUCACUUUCUUCUUCAGCUCCCGCUAAGCAUGAUGAAUCAAUGACCGGUAUGGGUCAACCUAUGACUGACAGAGACGUGGCGAAUGGAGAGACUUUGCCUGUUCCCCAAACCCAAUCAUCCAACCUCCCACCAGAGACGGAACCAACAUCCUCCAGUGAAUCAGAACAAAAUGGUAAAGGACCAUCUCCCUCCAACCCUGAGGACUCAUACUCAGGUAAAGCUCAUGUUGCAGUAGCAGAAGUGGGAGUCAGCAAAGAUGGAGCGAAAACCGCUAACGGGGGAUUUGGAACCAAACAAAACAAGACAAAGACUCUGAGAGUGGGCGGCUCACCACCUUUUCGCCGCCUACCUCCAAAGGGGCCCUACCAACGCCGCCCGUACCUAAAUAUGAGACCAUUCCAAAACAGGACACGUUCACCUUUUUCAGCUCCCGCAAAACAAAAUGAAUCAAAGACCGGUACGGGUCAACCCAUGACUGACAGACAACUAUUGUUUCCAAAGACAUUAACCGUUUCCCCAGCACAAUCCUCAACCCUCCCUUCAGAUGCCCAGCCAGAGAUAGCACCAAAGUCCUCCAGUGAAUCAGAACACAGUGGCAAAGGCUAUUCAUCAUCAUCAUCAUCCACUUCAGAGGAACCUUCUGCUGUGGCAGAGGAUGGUAUCAGCAGAGAUGGGGACAGGGCAACUGACAUGGUGUCGUCUGGAACUGAACGAAACAGGUCAAGGACUCUGACACUGGGCAGCACACCACCCUUGCGCCGUCUACCUCCAAAGGGGACGCAGCAACGCCGUCCACACCCAAAUAUGGGAGCAUUCCCAAACAGGACGCGAACAAACCUGAUACCCCCUUGGCAUCCAUCAAGAGGCCCCAUACGCAGACCUUUCCCACCUAAACUGACAAACAGGAACAACGGCAUCAUCGUUCAAACCCCUCAAACAGGGGAGCAGGGCACCUACAGCACCAGCCAGAAUGACACAAACACAGACCUAAAGCCCAAAACUCUCCUCAAGAAAACAAAUGCCACAGCUGGUAAAAUAGCACGAGAUCAAACACACAUAAGAAAUAACAGUAGCUUGAGCCAAAGGGGCCAAGAUUCAAAAACAGGCCAUCCUGACAAAGGUAGCCAAGUGAGUAAGAACGCUGACUCAAGAGACAGCCCAAACCAGAUUAAUGGGUCAGAUGUCACUACUACUGGAAAAACAGGCCAGCCUCUAAACUCAGUGGGGGUUCAAAGCAUAACCUCAGGAGGGCUCAUACUCGUUUGGGAAGCACCAGAGGGGAUGUACAGAAAUUUCAUAGUAACCUGGGAAGAGCAUGGAAGUAAGAACGAGGCAGAGAAAGAGGAGGAGAAGGAAGAGGAAGAGGAGGAGAGCGAGUCAGAGGAGGAUAGGCAGGAGGAAGGGGAGGCGGAGGGACAAACUGAGAAGGAGAACAAUGGGAAUGAGGAGGAAAGUGAAAUGGGGGUGAGUCAAGGUAAGGAGGGCGGGGAGGAGAACACUGUUACCAAUAGCAAAAGUGAUAACCAAAGACAGAGCAGCGACAGUAAUGCUACGGCUAAAGUUGGCGACGGUGGUACAAUCAAGUUCUCCAAAGUCCUUCCGGGGUCAGCUCGCUCAUUCCGAUUCCAGAAUCUCCAUCCACAGACCCGCUAUUCCCUGUCCGUGUUUGGGAAGGGUCCCGGACUACGCUCCAAAAUACACCGACUCAUCGUCAGCACAGGUACCGGCCAUAGUUUAAACUCUCCAACCUCUACAAGGGUUUAUUCAUUAUCGUUCAAAUACAGGACUUGGCUAGUAAUUCCAGACACCCAAGGUAGAUGCCGAUGCAUCCUCACACCGUUUUAG
This is a long non-coding RNA of Oncorhynchus tshawytscha (Chinook salmon), 2883 nucleotides long. NCBI's taxonomy places the organism in Eukaryota, Metazoa, Chordata, Actinopteri, Salmoniformes, Salmonidae. The record is from Ensembl.